Molecule: ribosomal RNA, 484 nt
Filed under: uncultured bacterium
Lineage: Bacteria
Description: partial 16S ribosomal RNA
Rfam family: Bacterial small subunit ribosomal RNA
Source: RNAcentral
AUUGAACGCUGGCGGCAGGCCUAACACAUGCAAGUCGAGCGGAUGAAUGGAGCUUGCUCCUGUAUUCCGCGGCGGACGGGUGAGUAAUGCCUAGGAAUCUGCCUUGUCGUGGGGGAUAACGUCCCUACACGGGCGCUAAUACCGCAUACGUCCUGAUGGAGAAACUGGGGGUUCUUCGGACCUCACCCUAUUAGCUGAGCCUAGGUCGGAUUAGCUCGUUGGUUUGGUAAAGGCCUACCAAGGCGACGAUCCGUAACUGGUCUGAGAGGAUGAUCAGUCACACUGGAACUGAGACACGGUCCAGACUCCUACGGGAGGCAGCAGUGGGGAAUAUUGGACAAUGGGCGAAAGCCUGAUCCAGCAAUGCCGCGUGUGUGAAGAAGGUCUUCGGAUUGUAAAGCACUUUAAGUUGGGAGGAAGGGCAGUAAGUUAAUACCUUGCUGUUUUGACGUUACCAACAGAAUAAGCACCGGCUAACUUCGUG